RNAcentral lists this ribosomal RNA (253 nucleotides) under uncultured bacterium. Its description in RNAcentral is "partial 16S ribosomal RNA". It matches the Rfam family "Bacterial small subunit ribosomal RNA", at positions 524 to 776 of the family's 1533-position model. The record is from RNAcentral.
UACGGGGGGGGCAAGCGUUGUUCGGAAUUACUGGGCGUAAAGGGCUCGUAGGUGGCCAACUAAGUCAGACGUGAAAUCCCUCGGCUUAACCGGGGAACUGCGUCUGAUACUGGAUGGCUUGAGUUUGGGAGAGGGAUGCGGAAUUCCAGGUGUAGCGGUGAAAUGCGUAGAUAUCUGGAGGAACACCGGUGGCGAAGGCGGCAUCCUGGACCAACACUGACACUGAGGCGCGAAAGCUAGGGUAGCAAACGGG